AACGAACGCUGGCGGCAUGCCUAACACAUGCAAGUCGAACGAGACCUUCGGGUCUAGUGGCGCCCGGGUGCGUAACGCGUGGGAACCUGCCCUUAGGUUCGGAAUAACUCCCCGACAGGGGUGCUAAUACCGGAUAAUGUCUUCGGACCAAAGAUUUAUCGCCUUUGGAUGGGCCCGCGUUGGAUUAGCUAGUUGGUAGGGUAAAAGCCUAUCAAGGCGACGAUCCAUAGCUGGUCUGAGAGGAUGAUCAGCCACACUGGGACUGAGACACGGCCCAGACUCCUACGGGAGGCAGCAGUGGGGAAUAUUGGACAAUGGGCGAAAUGAUGAUCCAGCAAUGCCGCGUGAGUGAUGAAGGCCUUAGGGUUGUAAAGCUCUUUUACCCGGGAUGAUAAUGACAGUACCGGGAGAAUAAGCCCCGGCUAACUACGUG
RNAcentral lists this ribosomal RNA (433 nucleotides) under uncultured bacterium. Its description in RNAcentral is "partial 16S ribosomal RNA". It matches the Rfam family "Bacterial small subunit ribosomal RNA", at positions 29 to 507 of the family's 1533-position model. The record is from RNAcentral.